This 292-nucleotide ribosomal RNA is filed under the name uncultured bacterium. RNAcentral describes it as "partial 16S ribosomal RNA". It matches the Rfam family "Bacterial small subunit ribosomal RNA", at positions 505 to 796 of the family's 1533-position model. The record is from RNAcentral.
GUGCCAGCCGCCGCGGUAAUACGUAGGGUGCGAGCGUUGUCCGGAAUUAUUGGGCGUAAAGGGCUCGUAGGCGGUUUGUCGCGUCGGGAGUGAAAACCAUGGGCUUAACUCAUGGCUUGCUUCCGAUACGGGCAGACUAGAGGCAUGCAGGGGAGAACGGAAUUCCUGGUGUAGCGGUGAAAUGCGCAGAUAUCAGGAGGAACACCGGUGGCGAAGGCGGUUCUCUGGGCAUGUCCUGACGCUGAGGAGCGAAAGUGUGGGGAGCGAACAGGAUUAGAAACCCCGGUAGUCC